UUGUAGGUGAAACCCCGGGAAGGAUCAUUACCGAGUU
RNAcentral lists this ribosomal RNA (37 nucleotides) under Lasiodiplodia crassispora. RNAcentral's name for it is "partial 18S ribosomal RNA". The record is from RNAcentral. Lineage: Eukaryota; Fungi; Ascomycota; Dothideomycetes; Botryosphaeriales; Botryosphaeriaceae.